RNAcentral lists this long non-coding RNA (2679 nucleotides) under Venturia canescens. Its description in RNAcentral is "uncharacterized LOC122411148". The record is from RNAcentral. Lineage: Eukaryota; Metazoa; Arthropoda; Insecta; Hymenoptera; Ichneumonidae.
CCUACGAGGUGAAGUACGCUCGAAAAAAAAACGUAUUUGAAAGAAAAAAGAAAUGCAUAGCCUAACGCGAUACAAUUCCACGAUUUUCUCAUUAUUUCUUCUUUCUCACAUUCUCCGAUCCGUUCGCUCGCUGUUCUCCCGUCGUGCUUUUCGUUUUAACCGCAAUAAGUGACACCCCCGGCGUCACUCGAAGCUGCCGGCUAGAAACACGUCAACGCGCGACGUCUCGUUCCACGUGCGAUUCGAAAACAAAACGAGAACGAUAUGCGUUUGUUUCUCCUUCUCAAUUCCAUUCCAUUAUUCACUCUCUCGCACUCCUUUCGACUAGCAUUCCUGUUUUUACAUAUAUCCCCGUGUCUGGCAAUGCUUCACGGAUCAUUUGAUUUUUCGAGUCUUCGUAGUACGACGAUCAAUGCGCGUUCGCGUACUACGGAAACUCAUCAAAUUCGAACAGUCGAUUCUUCUCUUUCUCCCCUCCACUCUAGUAUGAAACGGUUAUUUUCUGAACGCAUCCUCCCCUCGAAAGAAACUAAAUUUUCCAUUCUGCCAAUCUCGCCUGUAAAAAGUUAGGUUAUUCGUAUGAGAACGAAACUUUUUGGACUUUCGUGAGUUUUUCGACAUCGUCCAAUCGUCCAAUUCUGGCAUUACCACUCUCAUUUUUUAUGCGAUCGUCGAUGCGAGUGUACCCAAUUGAGAAAAGCGCGGAUUUGAACGAAAAUUUAAGAACGAACAUUUUCACGAAGUACGUGAUAAAAGGAGGGAGAGCGAAGAGUCGUGAAGCCAAGAGAAAUGACGAAUCCAGGGGUCUUUUCCAAAAAUAACGAAGCACCGAGGUCGGACCCGACGUAUAACGAGAGAUGAGAGAACGCGAGUGAACAUAUAGAUGCUGCUGCUGGGAGUAUAUUUUCAAAGUCCACACGCUGAGAUAUCUCGACGCUCAUGUUUUUGUAGCCAUAGACAGCCGGGGUUGCUCUGUUCUUGGAUUCUAAAGAAAAAAAAAAAAAAAAAAAAAAAAAAAAAUGAAAAAAGACGAUCGUUUGCCACCCUCGGAACGUUUUCCAGUGGCUACAAGAGCACAGCUGCAACUUCGAGUGAUGAGAGAAACGAAAGCGUUAAUGGCCAACGGAAUCUUACGAAAAAAAACUUCCGUACAUUGUAGAAUUGCAUCGUACCACGAUUCUCGGGUUAAAAACACUAAUCGUGAUUGCUUACUGCUUAUACUUUCCUACUCGGCGUGCAAAAUUAUUCGAGCGACAGAUUGGAAAAUGCGGGAGCUUAGAAUUCGCUUCUCCGUUGUCUCGAGUCGUCAGCGUGGGGGCAGUGAGAAAGAGACGACGAAUCGUAUCGAGUGAGAGAGGGGGGAAGAGUUUAUUUCGAGAUUUUCGGUACGUGGUCGUUCCUCCUCCAGUCUCCGUUCACGACGUUCUUGCGAUAUAUCAAUUUUCUUGUUCUCCGCCAUAUAUUUAUACCAAGGGACUUCAUUUUUAGGUUAUUUGCUCGAAUCGAACGGAGCAUCUUCGAAAAUAUGUUUUUAAACUGGAAAAAUACAAUUAGAUAUCUUCGCAAUCGAUAUGGGUUUUUCACGAUUAGGUAAAAUGCAAUUUCUCAAUUGUAGGAAGUACGAAAUUCUGAGUUUUAUAAGAAAGGAGACGCUUUCACGCGGACGUCCAAGCGUGCUCUACAUUUUGAGUGUAAUUGCCUCGUUAGUGUAACCUCUUAACAUAUUUAGGAUCGGAUGAGCAAUGAAUUUUUUAACGAUUUGCAAACAAACUUUGCCAUUGCGUUUCACAUUCAAGAAAAAUGUGACAUCGCCAUCUGUUGAAAAUGCAUAAAAUUGUGAACUUUCGAGCACUUUCAAAAACCGUGAUUCAAGAUUGUAUUAAAUAGUUUUUAAACUCGUUCGUGAGUAGGGAAAACGCGUGUGGAGCCACCAGUGGAAGAAUAUGAAAAAUAGAGCAGUCUCCGUACUUCGUCGAGACUUUUUUCUCCUGCUUCUGGUUUCGAUGCACUUUUGGGAAAAUCGUUGGUAGCUUUUACGAUAAUGCCACACGUCGAGGUCGCGAGGGUUCAAAAAACGCACAAAAAAAUAUCGUCUUCGAUCCUCUCGUCUUUCAUUUUUUAAAAUGAUCUCUCAAGAGAUUUUCUCGCGUCCAAAAAUGGAGACGAAUCUCACAUGGGAAGGGAACACUUACCGGGAUAAGGUCCCGAUGGCGAGACGUUAUCCUUGCCAGACUUGCCCGUAGACUCUUUGCUUCCGCCUCCUGAAACAACAAAGGAAAACAGAUAUUUCUUAUUAGCUCAUCCAUAUACAGCGAGCUCGAAUCUACAUUUACACAUGAAUAAAUAUCCAAUGACACGAGCACGAAAUUUCGUCGUAUAUCGUGUAAACGUAGUAAAAAUAGUUUGUGUCACAAAGAUAAAUGAAGAGAGAAACACGAUAAAGGUGACGGGAGCCGAGUCCCUUUACCGUACGUGUAUAACCUAUAAACAUAACCUAAAAAAUUCACAUGCCAAUUGACGUGGGUCGUGAGAAAGUAAGAGUGAGUAACGACGAAGAUUAUACGUGACGAAAUGGGUUGAAUAUCAAGUAAUUCGUGCUGAUAGAAUUGACGAAAAAAUUUUAAUUCGAAAAUCCAUAAAUUUGUACAUAAAAUUCAAUGAAUAAAGAGAUUAAAUUUG